AGCGAACGCUGGCGGCAGGCCUAACACAUGCAAGUCGAACGAACCUUUCGGGGUUAGUGGCGGACGGGUGAGUAACACGUGGGAACGUGCCUUUAGGUUCGGAAUAACUCAGGGAAACUUGUGCUAAUACCGAAUGUGCCCUUCGGGGGAAAGAUUAAUCGCCUUUAGAGCGGCCCGCGUCUGAUUAGCUAGUUGGUUGAGGUAAUGGCUCACCAAGGCGACGAUCAGUAGCUGGUCUGAGAGGAUGAUCAGCCACAUUGGGACUGAGACACGGCCCAAACUCCUACGGGAGGCAGCAGUGGGGAAUCUUGCGCAAUGGGCGAAAGCCUGACGCAGCCAUGCCGCGUGAAUGAUGAAGGUCUUAGGAUUGUAAAAUUCUUUCGCCGGGGACGAUAAUGACGGUACCCGGAGAAGAAGCCCCGGCUAACUUCGU
RNAcentral lists this ribosomal RNA (433 nucleotides) under uncultured bacterium. Its description in RNAcentral is "partial 16S ribosomal RNA". It matches the Rfam family "Bacterial small subunit ribosomal RNA", at positions 29 to 506 of the family's 1533-position model. The record is from RNAcentral.